GACGAAACGCUGGCGGCGUGCUUAAACACAUGCAAGUCGAGCGGUAAGGCCCUUUCGGGGGGUACACGAGCGGCGAACGGGUGAGUAACACGUGGGUGACCUGCCCUUAGCUCUGGGAUAAAGCCUGGGAAACUGGGUCUAAUACCGGAUAUGACUCCAUGACGCAUGUUGUGGGGUGGAAAAGCCUUGUGCGGCUAGGGAUGGGCCCGCGGCCUAUCAGCUUGUUGGUGGGGUGAUGGCCUACCAAGGCGACGACGGGGUAAGCCGGCCUGAGAGGGCGACCGGCCACACUGGGACUGAGACACGGCCCAGACU
RNAcentral lists this ribosomal RNA (315 nucleotides) under uncultured bacterium. RNAcentral describes it as "bacterial SSU rRNA". It matches the Rfam family "Bacterial small subunit ribosomal RNA", at positions 32 to 337 of the family's 1533-position model. The record is from RNAcentral.